AAGGCAGGUUCGAUGACUGGGGUGAAGUCGUAACAAGGUAGCCGUAUCGGAAGGUGCGGCUGGAUCACCUCCUUUCUAAGGAA
Molecule: ribosomal RNA, 83 nt
Filed under: Clostridium sp. AF43-10
Lineage: Bacteria; Bacillati; Bacillota; Clostridia; Eubacteriales; Clostridiaceae
Description: partial 16S ribosomal RNA
Rfam family: Bacterial small subunit ribosomal RNA
Source: RNAcentral